AUAUUGGACAAUGGGGGAAACCCUGAUCCAGCCAUGCCGCGUGUGUGAAGAAGGCCUUUUGGUUGUAAAGCACUUUAAGCAGUGAAGAAGACCUAACGGUUAAUACCCGUUAGCGAUGACAUUAGCUGCAGAAUAAGCACCGGCUAACUCUGUGCCAGCAGCCGCGGUAAUACAGAGGGUGCAAGCGUUAAUCGGAAUUACUGGGCGUAAAGCGAGCGUAGGUGGCUUGAUAAGUCAGAUGUGAAAUCCCCGGGCUUAACCUGGGAACUGCAUCUGAAACUGUUAGGCUAGAGUAUGUGAGAGGAAGGUAGAAUUCCAGGUGUAGCGGUGAAAUGCGUAGAGAUCUGGAGGAAUACCGAUGGCGAAGGCAGCCUUCUGGCAUAAUACUGACACUGAGGCUCGAAAGCGUGGGUAGCAAACA
RNAcentral lists this ribosomal RNA (421 nucleotides) under uncultured bacterium. RNAcentral's name for it is "bacterial SSU rRNA". It matches the Rfam family "Bacterial small subunit ribosomal RNA", at positions 361 to 774 of the family's 1533-position model. The record is from RNAcentral.